RNAcentral lists this long non-coding RNA (746 nucleotides) under Homo sapiens (human). Its description in RNAcentral is "non-protein coding lnc-SLC35B3-3:1". The record is from RNAcentral. Lineage: Eukaryota; Metazoa; Chordata; Mammalia; Primates; Hominidae.
GUCCAACACCAAGAGUGGACCUUACUGUAAACUAAGCCAGACAUGAUGGCGGGUGGCUGUAAUCCCAGCAACUCGGGAGGCUGCGGCGGGAGAAUUGCUUGAACCCAGGAGGCAGAGGUUCCAGUGAGCUGAGAUUGCACCAUUGCACUCCAGCCUGGGCAACAGAGCGAGACUCCAUCUCAAAAAAAAAAUUGAUAAGUAAUAAAUAAAAAAGAAAAAUUGAAAGGAGGGGUCAAAUACAAAAUAGAGAGAAGGGGCUCUGUCAAAUUCCUGGAAAAUAGAGGCAAAUCGAAUCGUAAGCACCCAGGAAGAGACUGGAUUUAAAGAACAGAUAGAAUUUCUAUUUUAACAAGUGAGAAGGAGGACAUGGUUGAUAAAGAUGUAGGCAUAUUCAUAUAUUUGAUAGCAGGAAGAUGGUGAGUAGUUCCUGUGUGAAAUUUCAAGAAUUCUCUCCCUAACAGUGCGCUAGAGAUCAGCUCCGCAACCUUCAAUAUUUAAGAGAAAAGACCCACCCAUGAGUGUAUGAAAACACCAAUAUCUGCUCUCCAGGGCCAUGGGAAUGAAGUUCCAAACUAAAUAUAAUCUAAAUUACUAUUCUAACAAGAGACUUAGCCUUUCCCAGGUAGGAAGUGAGGCAAAUGUGCCGGCCUCAAGAGUAUUAUUUUGUGAAAUAGGGCAUUUAUGGCUUCAGUAAUUGGAAGUUAUUGAAGGCUUGGGAAAAGGAUGUAAAGGUGUUUAAAUGGUUU